UAAAUAUAUUCACAUAUCAAAGCUCAGGCAAUAUUCGAGUAGUAGUAAACAGAUGGCAAAGAGUUUUUUCAGCUUUUAAAAAAGAAUCAUUUCAAAAAACAAAUCAUUUGUCACUUUCUCAUCCUCCUUUACCUAUCAUCCAAACCCAAAGCAAGCGCUACUUUCCUUUUAAAUAUAUUUAGUGUCACAAAUCUCCAACAUCAUCGACAGGCGACUACACAGAAAAAGACUGAAAAAUGCAAGAUCCACGCAAUCAUGUUCCAUCCUCUCCCACCAUCUCUUCCGUCUCUUCCUCUGAUCUUGAUACAGAGUCUACAGGAUCCUUCUUCCAUGACAGAAGCAUCACACUCUCGGGACGCUCAUGGGACUUAGUUUCUCAGCAACCAUGCCCAUGAUGCCCUUCAGAGCUUCUUCCCACCGACACGUGUCACCCUCCCUUACAACCUCCGACGCAACAACUCGCAACCAGAGGAAACGUCCUUCUUCGAACUCAGCUGAGCGGCAGCGACGCCGCAAGUGGUGGCGCUUUUGCCGAGACGACGACGAGGUCCCAGAAACGUGAUGCAACGCGGGGCCGGAGAUUGCAGUAGACGUUCGUCUCUCGGGGAGUAUCUGGAGGUGGAGCGGAGGUUUGGAGAUGAAGCCGUCUACGGCUCAGCCGAGGUGGAGCUAGAGGAUGCGGUGGCGCGUUACCGGAACAGCAGCCUGCGGUGGCGGAACGGGCGUUGUUCGCCGACGGGAGGGUUCUUCCUCCGGCUGAGAUUGUAACCGGAGAAAGUACACCGGAGGCUACGGCACUUUGUAGAUUCCCGGUUUCCUUAACCGGUAUAUGCAGCGGAGGAGGGUGAUAUAUCCGUCGUCGGUCCAUGUGCUUAUUUGUUUCUUUUAGAGAAAUUGUGUAAUCAAUUAUCUUUUUAGAAUUGUCAUUAAUCAUAUUGUUCGUGGGAAACAAUGGGAUGCAGUUUAAUAACAGCAACACAUAGUCAAACUAAA
This is an RNA transcript of Raphanus sativus (radish), 993 nucleotides long. RefSeq lists it as uncharacterized. The transcript has 2 exons. The record is from RefSeq and is a predicted model, not a curated record. NCBI's taxonomy places the organism in Eukaryota, Viridiplantae, Streptophyta, Magnoliopsida, Brassicales, Brassicaceae.